CAGGCCUAACACAUGCAAGUCGAACGAUGUCUUUCGGGACAUAGUGGCGCACGGGUGCGUAACGCGUGGGAAUCUGCCCUUGGGUCUGGGAUAACCGUUGGAAACGACGGCUAAUACCGGAUGAUAUCGCGAGAUCAAAGAUUUAUCGCCUGAGGAUGAGCCCGCGUUGGAUUAGGUAGUUGGUGUGGUAAAGGCGCACCAAGCCGACGAUCCAUAGCUGGUCUGAGAGGAUGAUCAGCCACACUGGGACUGAGACACGGCCCAGACUCCUACGGGAGGCAGCAGUGGGGAAUAUUGGACAAUGGGCGAAAGCCUGAUCCAGCAAUGCCGCGUGAGUGAUGAAGGCCUUAGGGUUGUAAAGCUCUUUUACCCGGGAUGAUAAUGACAGUACCGGGAGAAUAAGCUCCGGCUAACUCCGUGCCAGCAGCCGCGGUAAUA
RNAcentral lists this ribosomal RNA (438 nucleotides) under uncultured bacterium. Its description in RNAcentral is "bacterial SSU rRNA". It matches the Rfam family "Bacterial small subunit ribosomal RNA", at positions 43 to 525 of the family's 1533-position model. The record is from RNAcentral.